RNAcentral lists this ribosomal RNA (450 nucleotides) under uncultured bacterium. Its description in RNAcentral is "partial 16S ribosomal RNA". It matches the Rfam family "Bacterial small subunit ribosomal RNA", at positions 354 to 796 of the family's 1533-position model. The record is from RNAcentral.
GUGGGGAAUUUUGGACAAUGGGGGCAACCCUGAUCCAGCAAUGCCGCGUGCAGGAAGAAGGCCUUCGGGUUGUAAACUGCUUUUGUACGGAACGAAAAGGCUCUGGUUAAUACCUGGGGCACAUGACGGUACCGUAAGAAUAAGCACCGGCUAACUACGUGCCAGCAGCCGCGGUAAUACGUAGGGUGCAAGCGUUAAUCGGAAUUACUGGGCGUAAAGCGUGCGCAGGCGGUGCUGUAAGACAGGCGUGAAAUCCCCGGGCUUAACCUGGGAAUGGCGCUUGUGACUGCAGUGCUGGAGUGUGGCAGAGGGGGAUGGAAUUCCGAGUGUAGCAGUGAAAUGCGUAGAUAUGCGGAGGAACACCGAUGGCGAAGGCAAUCCCCUGGGCCUGCACUGACGCUCAUGCACGAAAGCGUGGGGAGCAAACAGGAUUAGAAACCCUUGUAGUCC